This 208-nucleotide ribosomal RNA is filed under the name uncultured bacterium. RNAcentral describes it as "partial 16S ribosomal RNA". It matches the Rfam family "Bacterial small subunit ribosomal RNA", at positions 568 to 774 of the family's 1533-position model. The record is from RNAcentral.
CGCGCAGGCGGCGCGUUAAGUCCGGGGUGAAAUCCAUCGGCUCAACCGGUGGGGGACCUUGGAUACUGGCGCACUGGAGUGCGGGAGAGGGAAGCGGAAUUCCACGUGUAACGGUGAAAUGUAUAGAUAUGUGGAGGAGCACCGGUGGCGAAGGCGGCUUCCUGGACCGUAACUGACGCUGAGGCGCGAAAGCUGGGGGGAGCGAACA